RNAcentral lists this small RNA (88 nucleotides) under Salmonella enterica. RNAcentral's name for it is "partial RtT sRNA". It matches the Rfam family "RtT RNA", at positions 1 to 87 of the family's 130-position model. From Rfam's summary of the family: This family represents a bacterial cis-regulatory element known as RtT RNA. The exact function of RtT is unknown although it is thought that it may be involved in changing the cellular response in relation to amino acid starvation. The record is from RNAcentral. Lineage: Bacteria; Pseudomonadati; Pseudomonadota; Gammaproteobacteria; Enterobacterales; Enterobacteriaceae.
UAUCUCUCCGUACGGGGAAGGAUGAGAAGCUUCGACUAAGGUUCGAUUCGAGCGCAGCGAGAAAGCGUUGCCGCAGGCAACGACCCGA